UUAAUGACAAUAGUGCUGUGGUUCUACCUGAAUCCAUUCCGAACUCAGAAGUAAAACGCAGUAACGCCGAUGGUAGUGUGGGGGUUCCCCAUGUGAGAGUAGGUCAUCAUU
This 111-nucleotide ribosomal RNA is filed under the name Nicoletella semolina. Lineage: Bacteria; Pseudomonadati; Pseudomonadota; Gammaproteobacteria; Pasteurellales; Pasteurellaceae. The record is from RNAcentral.